RNAcentral lists this ribosomal RNA (196 nucleotides) under uncultured bacterium. RNAcentral describes it as "partial 16S ribosomal RNA". It matches the Rfam family "Bacterial small subunit ribosomal RNA", at positions 338 to 524 of the family's 1533-position model. The record is from RNAcentral.
CCUACGGGAGGCAGCAGUGGGGAAUUUUGGACAAUGGGGGCAACCCUGAUCCAGCAAUGCCGCGUGAGUGAAGAAGGCCUUCGGGUUGUAAAGCUCUUUUGUCAGGGAAGAAACGGCUUGGGUUAAUACCUUGGGCUAAUGACGGUACCUGAAGAAUAAGCACCGGCUAAGCUAUCGUGCCAGCAGCCGCGGUAAU